UACGGAGGAUGCAAGCGUUGUCCGGAAUUAUUGGGCGUAAAGGGCUCGUAGGCGGUCUGUCACGUCGGGAGUGAAAACUCGGGGCUUAACCCCGAGCCUGCUUCCGAUACGGGCAGACUAGAGGUAGGUAGGGGAGAACGGAAUUCCUGGUGUAGCGGUGGAAUGCGCAGAUAUCAGGAGGAACACCGGUGGCGAAGGCGGUUCUCUGGGCCUUACCUGACGCUGAGGAGCGAAAGCGUGGGGAGCGAACAGG
Molecule: ribosomal RNA, 253 nt
Filed under: uncultured bacterium
Lineage: Bacteria
Description: partial 16S ribosomal RNA
Rfam family: Bacterial small subunit ribosomal RNA
Source: RNAcentral